AUUGAACGCUGGCGGCAGGCCUAACACAUGCAAGUCGAGCGGUAGCACAGAGAGCUUGCUCUCGGGUGACGAGCGGCGGACGGGUGAGUAAUGUCUGGGAAACUGCCUGAUGGAGGGGGAUAACUACUGGAAACGGUAGCUAAUACCGCAUAACGUUGCAAGACCAAAGAGGGGGACCUUCGGGCCUCUUGCCAUCGGAUGUGCCCAGAUGGGAUUAGCUAGUAGGUGGGGUAACGGGCUCACCUAGGCGACGAUCCCUAGCUGGUCUGAGAGGAUGACCAGCCACACUGGAACUGAGACACGGUCCAGACUCCUACGGGAGGCAGCAGUGGGGAAUAUUGCACAAUAGGGCGCAAGCCUCGAUGCAGCCAUGCCGCGUGUAUGAAGAAAGGCCUCGGUU
Molecule: ribosomal RNA, 400 nt
Filed under: uncultured bacterium
Lineage: Bacteria
Description: bacterial SSU rRNA
Rfam family: Bacterial small subunit ribosomal RNA
Source: RNAcentral